UCGUAACAAGGUUUCCGUAGGUGAACCUGCGGAAGGAUCAUUACCGAGUGAGGGCCCUCUGGGUCCAACCUCCCACCCGUGUUUAUCGUACCUUGUUGCUUCGGCGGGCCCGCCUCACGGCCGCCGGGGGGCAUCUGCCCCCGGGCCCGCGCCCGCCGAAGACACACAAACGAACUCUUGUCUGAAGAUUGCAGUCUGAGUACUUGACUAAAUCAGUUAAAACUUUCAACAACGGAUCUCUUGGUUCCGGCAUCGAUGAAGAACGCAGCGAAAUGCGAUAAGUAAUGUGAAUUGCAGAAUUCAGUGAAUCAUCGAGUCUUUGAACGCACAUUGCGCCCCCUGGUAUUCCGGGGGGCAUGCCUGUCCGAGCGUCAUUGCUGCCCUCAAGCACGGCUUGUGUGUUGGGCUCUCGCCCCCCGCUUCCGGGGGGCGGGCCCGAAAGGCAGCGGCGGCACCGCGUCCGGUCCUCGAGCGUAUGGGGCUUCGUCACCCGCUCUGUAGGCCCGGCCGGCGCCCGCCGGCGAACACCAUCAAUCUUAACCAGGUUGACCUCGGAUCAGGUAGGGAUACCCGCUGAACUUAAGCAUAUCAAUAA
RNAcentral lists this unclassified non-coding RNA (595 nucleotides) under Penicillium oxalicum. Its description in RNAcentral is "sequence contains 18S rRNA gene, ITS1, 5.8S rRNA gene, ITS2, 28S rRNA gene". The stretch from base 221 to 374 matches the Rfam family "5.8S ribosomal RNA". Lineage: Eukaryota; Fungi; Ascomycota; Eurotiomycetes; Eurotiales; Aspergillaceae. The record is from RNAcentral.